RNAcentral lists this ribosomal RNA (377 nucleotides) under uncultured eukaryote. RNAcentral describes it as "partial 18S ribosomal RNA". It matches the Rfam family "Eukaryotic small subunit ribosomal RNA", at positions 592 to 976 of the family's 1831-position model. The record is from RNAcentral.
CAAUAGCGUAUAUUAAAGUUGUUGCAGUUAAAAAGCUCGUAGUUGGAUUUCGGGGCAGCCUGGCUGGUCCGCCGCAAGGCGAGUACUGGUCAGCCGCCCUUCCUCUCGAAAGCCCCGACUGCUCUUCAUUGCAGUGGUCGGGUAGUUCGGGACGUUUACUUUGAAAAAAUUAGAGUGUUCAAGGCAGGCCUACGCCUGAAUACAUUAGCAUGGAAUAAUGGAAGAGGACCUCGGUCCUAUUUUGUUGGUUUCCAGGGCCGAAGUAAUGAUUAAGAGGGACAGUUGGGGGCAUUCGUAUCUAAUUGUCAGAGGUGAAAUUCUCGGAUUUAUGAAAGACGAACAACUGCGAAAGCAUUUGCCAAGGAUGUUUUCAUUAA